This 613-nucleotide ribosomal RNA is filed under the name uncultured bacterium. RNAcentral describes it as "bacterial SSU rRNA". It matches the Rfam family "Bacterial small subunit ribosomal RNA", at positions 338 to 954 of the family's 1533-position model. The record is from RNAcentral.
CCUACGGGAGGCAGCAGUAAGGAAUAUUGGACAAUGCCCGCAAGGGUGAUCCAGCCAUGCCGCGUGCAGGAAGAAGGCCCUAUGGGUCGUAAACUGCUUUUACACCGGAGAAAACCUCCCUUCGUGAAGGGAGCUGAUAGUAUGGUGAGAAUAAGCAUCGGCUAACUUCGUGCCAGCAGCCGCGGUAAGACGAAGGAUGCAAGCGUUAUCCGGAUUCAUUGGGUUUAAAGGGAGCGUAGGUGGACUGAUAAGUCAGUGGUGAAAUCUUCGAGCUUAACUCGGAAAUUGCCAUUGAUACUGUUAGUCUUGAGUACAGUUGCUGUGGGCGGAAUAUGACAUGUAGUGGUGAAAUACAUAGAGAUGUCAUAGAACACCGAUUGCGAAGGCAGCUCACAAAGCUGUAACUGACACUGAGGCUCGAAAGUGCGGGGAUCAAACAGGAUUAGAUACCCUGGUAGUCCGCACCGUAAACGAUGAUUACUCGCUGCUAGAGGGCAACUUUUAGUGGCUUAGCGAAAGCGAUAAGUAAUCCACCUGGGAGUACGCCGGCAACGGUGAAACGUCGAAAUAGAGUAGAGNGNGAGAGNGCGACGGACGACGACGAGGGAGGAGG